GAUGAACGCUGGCGGCGUGCCUAAUACAUGCAAGUCGAGCGAACAGACGAGGAGCUUGCUCCUCUGACGUUAGCGGCGGACGGGUGAGUAACACGUGGAUAACCUACCUAUAAGACUGGGAUAACUUCGGGAAACCGGAGCUAAUACCGGAUAAUAUAUUGAACCGCAUGGUUCAAUAGUGAAAGACGGUUUUGCUGUCACUUAUAGAUGGAUCCGCGCCGCAUUAGCUAGUUGGUAAGGUAACGGCUUACCAAGGCAACGAUGCGUAGCCGACCUGAGAGGGUGAUCGGCCACACUGGAACUGAGACACGGUCCAGACUCCUACGGGAGGCAGCAGUAGGGAAUCUUCCGCAAAGGGCGAAAGCCUGACGGAGCAACGCCGCGUGAGUGAUGAAGGUCUUUGGAUCGUAAAACUCUGUUAUUAGGGAAGAACAAAUGUGUAAGUAACUAUGCACGUCUUGACGGUACCUAAUCAGAAAGCCACGGCUAACUACGUG
This 497-nucleotide ribosomal RNA is filed under the name uncultured bacterium. RNAcentral describes it as "partial 16S ribosomal RNA". It matches the Rfam family "Bacterial small subunit ribosomal RNA", at positions 28 to 507 of the family's 1533-position model. The record is from RNAcentral.